CCUACGGGUGGCAGCAGUGGGGAAUAUUGCACAAUGGGCGAAAGCCAGAUGCAGCAACGCCGCGUGAGCGAUGAAGGUCUUCGGCUCGUAAGGCUCUGUCCUAAGGGAAGAAUACUGACGGUACCUUAGGAGGAAGCCCCGGCUGACUACGUGCCGGCAGCCACGGUAAUAGUUAGGGGGGUAGUGUUAUCCGGAAUUACUGGGCGUAAAGGGUGCGUUGGCAGGCCUUCAAGUCAGAGGUGAAAGGCUACGGCUCAACUGUAGGAAGUCUUUAAAACUGUAAGGGUUGAGGGGAGGAGAGGGUGGUGAAAUGGCCGGUGUAGCGGUUAAAUGAGUAGAUAUUGGGAGGUACACCUGUUGCGAUGGCGGCACUCUCGAAUGUAACUGACGCUGAGGCAGGCAAUAGUGGGGAGCGAACUGGUGUAGACAUCCUUGUAGUC
Molecule: ribosomal RNA, 440 nt
Filed under: uncultured bacterium
Lineage: Bacteria
Description: bacterial SSU rRNA
Rfam family: Bacterial small subunit ribosomal RNA
Source: RNAcentral